This is a non-coding RNA of Python bivittatus (Burmese python), 134 nucleotides long. RefSeq annotates it as small Cajal body-specific RNA 11. The record is from RefSeq and is a predicted model, not a curated record. NCBI's taxonomy places the organism in Eukaryota, Metazoa, Chordata, Lepidosauria, Squamata, Pythonidae.
CAGUCCUGCCCUCAAUUUCUGCUCCUCCUGCCAAAACUGUGGUAGAGAGCUUGGGGCGGACAUAGAUAAAACACUCUUAUAUUAGGAGGGUUUCUUCAAGUGCUAAGCUGCCCUCAAAGGCACAAGAGAACAUC